CUUGCCCGCUGGCGGCAUGCUUUACACAUGCAAGUCGAACGGCAGCGCGGGCUUCGGCCUGGCGGCGAGUGGCGAACGGGUGAGUAAUGCAUCGGAACGUGCCCAGUAGUGGGGGAUAGCCCGGCGAAAGCCGGAUUAAUACCGCAUACGACCUGAGGGUGAAAGCGGGGGACCGAAAGGCCUCGCGCUAUUGGAGCGGCCGAUGUCGGAUUAGCUAGUUGGUGGGGUAAAGGCUUACCAAGGCGACGAUCCGUAGCUGGUCUGAGCGGACGACCAGCCACACGGGGAAGGGAACACGGCCAAGAGUCCUGAGGGAGGACGCAGUGGGGAAUUUGGGACAGUGGGGGCAACCCUGAUCCAGCCAUGCGGCGUGCGAGAAAGAGGCCUCGGGGUUGUAAACAGGUUUUGUUGGGGAAGAAAUCCUUUGGGCUAAUACCCCGGGGGGAUGACGGUACCGGAAAAAUAAGCACCGGCUAACUACGUG
Molecule: ribosomal RNA, 484 nt
Filed under: uncultured bacterium
Lineage: Bacteria
Description: partial 16S ribosomal RNA
Rfam family: Bacterial small subunit ribosomal RNA
Source: RNAcentral